Molecule: unclassified non-coding RNA, 225 nt
Filed under: Hevea brasiliensis (rubber tree)
Lineage: Eukaryota; Viridiplantae; Streptophyta; Magnoliopsida; Malpighiales; Euphorbiaceae
Source: RNAcentral
AUCUAUGACAAAACACCUCUCCAAAAUGCCCUGACGAUUGAAGGCCGCAUUAUAGCCCUUUGGCUAACAGAUCUCGAUUGUGCAUACCAACAACUUUACGCCUUCACAUAACGUCUGUGCAUCACUAUGGAGUAGCUACACAUGGAAGACAUGCCCUGAAUUUCAUUUCAUUGGACAGCAGUGGAAUUAUCAGGCCCAAACAAGUCAUCACAGGUUUUACUCUCA